AUUGAACGCUGGCGGCAGGCCUAACACAUGCAAGUCGAGCGGAAGAAGGGAGCUUGCUCCUGGAUUCCGCGGCGCACGGGUGAGUAAUGCCUAGGAAUCUGCCUCGUAGUGGGGGAUAACGUCCGGAAACGGGCGCUAAUACCGCCUACGUCCUGAGGGAGAAAGUGGGGGGUCUUCGGACCUCACGCUAUCAGAUGAGCCUAGGUCGGAUUAGCUAGCUGGUGGGUUAAAGGCCUACCUAGGCGACGAUCCGUAACUGGUCUGAGAGGAUGAUCAGUCACACUGGAGGGUGAACACGGUCCAGAGGCCUACGGGACGCAGCAGUGGGGAAUAUGGGACAGUGGGGGGAAGCCUGAUACAGCCAUGCCGAGUGUGUGGAAGCGGUCUUCGGAGUGUAAAGCACGCUAAGGUGUGAGGAAGGGCAGUAAGCUGAGACGUUGCGGGUUUGACGGUAACAGGUAAAGAAGCACCGGCUAACUACGUG
This 484-nucleotide ribosomal RNA is filed under the name uncultured bacterium. Its description in RNAcentral is "partial 16S ribosomal RNA". It matches the Rfam family "Bacterial small subunit ribosomal RNA", at positions 29 to 507 of the family's 1533-position model. The record is from RNAcentral.